This 492-nucleotide ribosomal RNA is filed under the name uncultured bacterium. Its description in RNAcentral is "partial 16S ribosomal RNA". It matches the Rfam family "Bacterial small subunit ribosomal RNA", at positions 29 to 507 of the family's 1533-position model. The record is from RNAcentral.
AGUGAACGCUGGCGGUAGGCCUAACACAUGCAAGUCGAACGGCAGCACAUUAUGAGCUUGCUCGUACGGGUGGCGAGUGGCGGACGGGUGAGGAAUACAUCGGAAUCUACUUUUUCGUGGGGGAUAACGUAGGGAAACUUACGCUAAUACCGCAUACGACCUACGGGUGAAAGCAGGGGAUCUUCGUACCUUGCGCGAUUGAAUGAGCCGAUGUCGGAUUAGCUAGUUGGCGGGGUAAAGGCCCACCAAGGCGACGAUCCGUAGCUGGUCUGAGAGGAUGAUCAGCCACACUGGAACUGAGACACGGUCCAGACUCCUACGGGAGGCAGCAGUGGGGAAUAUUGGACAAUGGGCGCAAGCCUGAUCCAGCCAUACCGCGUGGGUGAAGAAGGCCUUCGGGUUGGAAAGCCCUUUUGUUGGGAAAGAAAAGCAGCAGGUUAAUACCCCGCUGUUCUGACGGUACCCAAAGAAUAAGCACCGGCUAACUUCGUG